This 74-nucleotide transfer RNA is filed under the name Mariprofundus ferrinatatus. It matches the Rfam family "tRNA". Rfam says of the family: Transfer RNA (tRNA) molecules are approximately 80 nucleotides in length. Their secondary structure includes four short double-helical elements and three loops (D, anti-codon, and T loops). The record is from Rfam by way of RNAcentral. Lineage: Bacteria; Pseudomonadati; Pseudomonadota; Candidatius Mariprofundia; Mariprofundales; Mariprofundaceae.
GCGCCUGUAGCUCAACUGGAUAGAGCAACGGCCUUCUAAGCCGUAGGUUGCAGGUUCGAGCCCUGCCAGGCGCG